Molecule: ribosomal RNA, 119 nt
Filed under: Pteropus alecto (black flying fox)
Lineage: Eukaryota; Metazoa; Chordata; Mammalia; Chiroptera; Pteropodidae
Source: RNAcentral
GUCUAUGGCCAUGACACCCUGAAUAAGCCCGAUCCUGUUUGAUUUCAAAAGCUAAGCAGGAUCGGGCCUGGUAAGUAUGUGGAUGGGAGACCACCUAGGAAGACCAGGUGUCGUAGGUA